GGAAAUUCCAAAGUCAAAAGUCUCAUCCAGACUUGGCAGUCAACAAUAAUAUUAAGUUUCAUCAAUUUUGGAGCAUUUUGAAAUUUUUGAAAUAUUUGAUCCUGUAUCCAUGGUAACAGAGUAGUUCCAAUGAUUGUCAUAAUCAUUCAAAACCUGUAUAUAGUGGACAACUAUAUUGUAUAAAAAUUUGAUGAUUUUAAGUUCAAGCAUACAAAAGUUAUUCACCAAACCCGGAAGUUUUUGGAGCAUUUUGACCUUUUUGCAUUGUUUCCAUGGAAACGGCAGACAUUUUGGAAAUUCCAACGCCAAGUUCCACA
This 317-nucleotide long non-coding RNA is filed under the name Mytilus galloprovincialis (Mediterranean mussel). Lineage: Eukaryota; Metazoa; Mollusca; Bivalvia; Mytilida; Mytilidae. The record is from RNAcentral.